UACGAAGGGGGCUAGCGUUGUUCGGAUUUACUGGGCGUAAAGCGCGUGUAGGCGGACUUGUAAGUUGGGGGUGAAAUCCCGAGGCUCAACCUCGGAACUGCCUCCAAAACUACAAGUCUGGAGCAAGAUAGAGGCAAGUGGAAUUGCGAGUGUAGAGGUGAAAUUCGUAGAUAUUCGCAGGAACACCAGUGGCGAAGGCGACUUGCUGGAUCUUUGCUGACGCUGAGACGCGAAAGCGUGGGGAGCAAAC
This 250-nucleotide ribosomal RNA is filed under the name uncultured bacterium. Its description in RNAcentral is "partial 16S ribosomal RNA". It matches the Rfam family "Bacterial small subunit ribosomal RNA", at positions 524 to 773 of the family's 1533-position model. RNAcentral also lists the same sequence under 1 other name. The record is from RNAcentral.